CUCUCCAUAUUCCAACCAAAAACACAAAAACUGCAGAACAGAGAGAGAUAUGCCAAAGAAAUGUCAUCCCAAAAAUCAAGAAUGCGUCCACUCCAUCGUGGCCUAGUUUCAAGAAUUCUUCCUUCAUCUGAUGCAAAAGAAAAUCUUCUUUCCAAUGAUUUCCUUCUCAGUUGGCUAGAUGCGCUGCUCUCAGCAGCUGUCAUCUGAAGUUGUGCUUCCUCAUCUAACUCAGUAUCAUAAUCUUUUCCA
This 249-nucleotide long non-coding RNA is filed under the name Nicotiana benthamiana. Its description in RNAcentral is "long non-coding RNA (NBEN_LNC001249)". The record is from RNAcentral. Lineage: Eukaryota; Viridiplantae; Streptophyta; Magnoliopsida; Solanales; Solanaceae.